This 407-nucleotide ribosomal RNA is filed under the name uncultured bacterium. RNAcentral describes it as "partial 16S ribosomal RNA". It matches the Rfam family "Bacterial small subunit ribosomal RNA", at positions 28 to 526 of the family's 1533-position model. The record is from RNAcentral.
GACGAACGCUGGCGGCGUGCCUAAUACAUGCAAGUAGGACGCAGUUGCGAACGGGUGAGUAACGCGUAGGUAACUACCUAUUAGAGGGGGAUAACUAUUGGAAACGAUAGCUAAUACCGCAUACUAGUAGAUUGACCUGCGUUGUAUUAGCUAGUAGGUAGGGUAAUGGCCUACCUAGGCAACGAUACAUAGCCGACCUGAGAGGGGUGUCGGGCACACUGGGACUGGGACCAGGCUCAGACCUCUACGGGAGGCAGCAGUAGGGAAUCGUCGGAAAUGGGGGGAACCCUGACCGAGCAACGCCGCGUGAGUGAAGAAGGUUUUCGGAUCGUAAAGCUCUGUUGUUAAGGAAGCGGUACUUAAACAGAAAGGGACGGCUAACUACGUGCCAGCCGCCGCGGUAAUUC